Eufriesea mexicana is the source of this 1464-nucleotide RNA transcript. RefSeq lists it as uncharacterized. The transcript is spliced from 5 exons. The record is from RefSeq and is a predicted model, not a curated record. NCBI's taxonomy places the organism in Eukaryota, Metazoa, Arthropoda, Insecta, Hymenoptera, Apidae.
GAGAGGCGCAGAACGUGUUCGAUCGACCCGCGAACGCAGCCCGUGCUCACACUGCGACAGAGUUCACUUCAGUCAGUCGCUAUUUGCUUGUCGACCGCGUACAGUCGCGUCGGUUCACGAUCUUUUCCCUCUCUUUCUUCGUGAAAGCCUUUUCGCGGUAGCCGGCCUAUAAUAUUGCCAACUUGUCGCGCGAUUAUCGCUACCGUUCCCCUUUUUACCCUGUGUUCUCCGCAAAAAGAAAAAAGGCAUUUGCACGGACCUCCGUCGUCUGCUAGGAGUACUUUGCUCGGACACAUGGGCUGCUAGGCACGAGGGAUGAUUCAGGCAUAAACGUGAUGCACUUUGGAGAUAACGUGUGUCUGGCUGCUGCAGUACGCGCCCAGUGGUUGCUUCAAUAGCUGGUUUCCAUAUAUUCUUCGUGGGGGAUAUCAUCCUUCGAUUUUCUGCGUCCAACAAUCAAGGACCAUGAACAGAAAUUCAAGCCUUUACUCGAGGAUACUAGCGUGGACAUCCUGUUUACUCGCUGUUCUUCUCAUUCUGCUUCCCUCGAGGACUGCCGCCUUGGAGGAGAACUGCACGGACUUCCAGGGGACGAUCGUUCGGCAUGGUCUCCUCUAUGUACCGGGUCCUGCGGUUUGCAGUCUCUGCGUCUGCUAUCAUUCGGAGCCAAUGUGGUGUCGAUCGAUCUUCUGCACGCCACCCUACAAAUGCAAGAAGUUUCGCGUCGGCGAGCGAUGCUGCGAAUUCGAGUGCCUGGAUGACACGGAUUGGACUGGACCUGAUCUGAUCAUUGCCUCUGGUUCCUCCAGGGUUCAAGAACAAGGGAUAUUCUGGCUGAUAGGUCUGACGGCGCUGCUGAGAGCGCUCUAGUUCUAUAACGAGGCUCCAGAGGGCGUCGUUGAGAUUCAGCCAUUCAGAACAUCGACGACGAAGGAAUUUCUGGCCAAACGCGUGCAAUAUAAGAAAUCUAUAGACAAAGGAACCAAAGGAACGAAAUUUCUCAGUGUGCUGUCGCAAAGUUUGGUGUCUACUUGGCGUCUUUGUCAUUUCGUUGCGACACGAUUUGUGUUAAAGGAAGAGGGAACAAAAGCAAAAGCAAGAGGAGACGAUCGUUUGUGUUUCUCUUAUCUUUCUCGAGGGACAACAUGAACCCUUUCCAGCUGACAGAUAGCCAUCGUUUCCUCGAACUUUUUUCCUUUUUUAUAUCAGCAACAUUGCUAGAUUUUUUGCUCUUUGACCUUCUAUCGAGUCAGGCGUUGUAUUAAUCGACAUUAAUCGACCAAUUUCUCUAAGCUUGUAACUUCGAACUAACGUUUACAUGUAAAAAGUGUUAUUAAUUUAUCUGAAUGUAAAUAUUUAGAUCGACUUAUAGAUUUAAUAUUGCUAUACGAUACGUAAACUACCUUUUGAUCGCGAAGUUGUGUCAUUUGAUCAAGGGGUCCUUUAUGUAUGAGUAAUCAUUCU